Molecule: ribosomal RNA, 501 nt
Filed under: uncultured bacterium
Lineage: Bacteria
Description: partial 16S ribosomal RNA
Rfam family: Bacterial small subunit ribosomal RNA
Source: RNAcentral
ACUCAAAUGAAUUGACGGGGGCCCGCACAAGCGGUGGAGCAUGUGGUUCAAUUCGAAGCAACGCGCAGAACCUUACCAGCUCUUGACAUGUCCCGUAUGAGUACCAGAGAUGGAACUCUUCAGUUCGGCUGGCGGGAACACAGGUGCUGCAUGGCUGUCGUCAGCUCGUGUCGUGAGAUGUUGGGUUAAGUCCCGCAACGAGCGCAACCCUCGCCCUUAGUUGCCAUCAUUUAGUUGGGCACUCUAAGGGGACUGCCGGUGAUAAGCCGCGAGGAAGGUGGGGAUGACGUCAAGUCCUCAUGGCCCUUACGGGCUGGGCUACACACGUGCUACAAUGGCGGUGACAAUGGGAUGCUGAGGGGAAACCCCGAGCAAAUCUCAAAAAGCCGUCUCAGUUCGGAUUGUGCUCUGCAACUCGAGCACAUGAAGUUGGAAUCGCUAGUAAUCGCAGAUCAGCACGCUGCGGUGAAUACGUUCCCGGGCCUUGUACACACCGCCCGU